This 568-nucleotide ribosomal RNA is filed under the name Massalongia carnosa. RNAcentral's name for it is "SSU rRNA". It matches the Rfam family "Bacterial small subunit ribosomal RNA", at positions 456 to 1076 of the family's 1533-position model. The record is from RNAcentral. Lineage: Eukaryota; Fungi; Ascomycota; Lecanoromycetes; Peltigerales; Massalongiaceae.
UAGAGUUAUGAUAAUGACAUUAUCUAUCUAUGUGUCUUGACCAAAUUACGUGCCAGCAGUCGCGGUAAUACGUAAAAGACUAGUGUUAUUCAUGAUUAAUAGGUUUAAAGAGUACCUAGACGGUUAAUGAAGCCCCUAAAGGGUACAUAUUAACUAGAGUUAUAUGAAAGGGAGCUUUGAGGUACUGUUGAGUGUAGAGAUGAAAUUCGUUAAUACCAGAUAAGUGGCACGAAUCUAUGCGAAGGCAUCUCCUUAUGUAAUAACUGACGUUGAAGGACGAAGGCUUUUGAAGUGAAGAGGAUUAGAUACCCUAGUAAUCCAAGCAGAAAAUGAUGAAUGUCAUAGGUUGAAUAAUAUAUUUGGUCUAUAAAUGAAAGUGUAAGCAUUCCACCUCAAGAGUAAUUUGGCAACAUUGAAACUGAAAUCAUUAGACCGUAUCUGAAACCAGUAGUGAAGUAUGUUGUUUAAUUAGACGGUCCGCAAAAAACCUUACCACAAUUUGAAUAUAUAUUUUAAUUAAUAUUUACAAGCGUUGCACGGCUGUCUUCAGUUAAUGUCGUGAGAUUUU